ACUUUGGGACAAAAAGCCUAAUUAGUGGGAUGACCUUACACCCUGUUUGCCUAAGACAGCCCUGGCUUACUCAGAUUACCCUAGCAACUAGUAUGCCCUCUGACUCCCAAAAGUACCCCAGUUAGAUAGAUGGCCUCCUUUAAUAUUAGGACUAAGUGAGGUGCCUUGAAUUUGAGUGCAAAUAAUUUAUUUAUUUCAGGAAAUAAAUAGAUCAAUAGAAUAGUAAGGAAGUGGAUUAGGAAAGCAGUCAAAGUUAGUAAAGGACAUGUGAUCAAACCAGUUAAUACUUGGGAAACCAGAGCCCAAUGCUAUCUGGGACCCUGGGAGAACAGUAUUGAGAUCAGAUUUUAGAUCAACAGAUUCCAGGAUAAUCCUAACUGAGAGGCAAGGCAACUGGGGUACUGAUCUGCAUGCAUCCUUAGUUUAGGACUUCUUUUAGGGUCUUAGCUCCUGGUGCUUCCAGCUUGCCCUCACGUGUGUCCAGAUAUGGUCCCCAAACAGAAAGCGGCCUUCAGCAUAGAGGUAAAUUCUGAGGAAUUGUAAAUGAAGCCUCAAUAGUGUCUGCUGCAGAGGGUAACCACAUAAUAUUAAAAGAUUUAUUUCAUCAAAAAAAUUAAAAUUCAAUUGGGUAUCUAAUGAAUUAACUUCAAAAUAUAUGAAACACAUACACACACAAUAUCCUGCAUCUUCUUUUCCAUCCACCCAUUGAUGAAUGAAUAUGGAAACAGGUUGUUUCUCUAUCUUGGCUAUUGUGAAUAAUACUGCAAUGAAUAUGAGACUGCAGGUGUCUUUAUGAUUUAUGGAUUGCAAUUCCUCGAUCCAGGAUCGAGUCCCACAUCAGGCUCCCUGCAUGGAGCCUGCUUCUCCCUCUGCCUGUGUCUCUGCCUCUUUCUCUCUCUGUCUCUCAUGAAUAAAUAAAUAAAAUCUUUUUUUUUUUUUAAAGAAGCUUUAUACUGUUUUCCAUAGUGUCUGCACAAAUUUGCAUUCCCACCAGGAGGGCACUGGGGUUACCUUUUCUCCAUACCCUCAUCACCCUUUGUCUUUUGAUAUGAGGUGGUGUGUUAUUGUGGUUUUGAUGUGCGCUUCUCUGAUAAACCACAGUUUAUCCAUUUACCUUCGAAGGACAUCUGGGUUACUUCCAAAUUUUGACAAUUACAAAUAAAGCUGCUGUAAACAUCUAUGUGCAGAUUUUUGUGUGGACAUAAGUUUUCAGGUCCUUUGGCUAAAUACUAAGAAUGCAAGAAUAAUUUAAAAAUAGAAAAGUCAUGGGUGCUUGGGUGGCUCAGUCGGUUAAGCAUCCAACUCUUGCUUUUGGCUCUAGUCAUGGUCACGAUCUCAGGGUCCUGAGAUUAAGCCCCAUGAAGGGCUCUGCACUCAGCAGGGAGUUGGCUUCCCCUCUCCCUCUCCUUCCGCACUCUCUCUCAAAUAAAUAACUAAAUCUUUAAAAAAGUAGAAAAUUCAAAGAUGUAUUCACCACAUUAAUGGAUUAAAAGAGACAAACUACCUCAAGAGAUGCCAAAAAAAAAAAACCCUUUUAGAAUUUAAUACUUAAUCAUGAUCAAAAGCUCUAAACAAACUAAAAAUAAAAGAACACUUUAAAAAAAAAA
Molecule: long non-coding RNA, 1607 nt
Filed under: Canis lupus familiaris (dog)
Lineage: Eukaryota; Metazoa; Chordata; Mammalia; Carnivora; Canidae
Description: lncRNA (ENSCAFG00845011631.1)
Source: RNAcentral